GCUGUGAUGGACGAGGAGUGAAGGUGUUGGACUUGAAACCCAACAGGGUUUCCUUGCGCAGGUUCAAAUCCUGCUCACAGUG
RNAcentral lists this transfer RNA (82 nucleotides) under Patagioenas fasciata monilis. It matches the Rfam family "tRNA". Rfam says of the family: Transfer RNA (tRNA) molecules are approximately 80 nucleotides in length. Their secondary structure includes four short double-helical elements and three loops (D, anti-codon, and T loops). Lineage: Eukaryota; Metazoa; Chordata; Aves; Columbiformes; Columbidae. The record is from Rfam by way of RNAcentral.